Suricata suricatta (meerkat) is the source of this 190-nucleotide small nuclear RNA. Its record names the gene U2. It matches the Rfam family "U2 spliceosomal RNA". From Rfam's summary of the family: U2 is a small nuclear RNA (snRNA) component of the spliceosome (involved in pre-mRNA splicing). Complementary binding between U2 snRNA (in an area lying towards the 5' end but 3' to hairpin I) and the branchpoint sequence (BPS) of the intron results the bulging out of an unpaired adenosine, on the BPS, which initiates a nucleophilic attack at the intronic 5' splice site, thus starting the first of two transesterification reactions that mediate splicing. The record is from Ensembl. NCBI's taxonomy places the organism in Eukaryota, Metazoa, Chordata, Mammalia, Carnivora, Herpestidae.
AUCGCUUCUCGGCCUUUUGGCUAAGAUCAAGUGUAGUGUCUGUUCUUCUCAGUUUAAUAAAGUAACUCUUACAUUCCGACCUUUCUGGUGUUAUGGGGCCGCAUCAGGUCUAUGGCUACUUCCUGCUGAGAAGGGAACGGCGUGAUGAUUGGGGUCUGUGGUCGGAAUGGAAGAGUACCGGUGAACCAGC